UGGGAUGUGGCUCCGUGGUAGAGUGCUUGUCUAGCAUUCGAGAGGCCCUGGGUUCAAUCCCCAGCAUGGCAA
This is a non-coding RNA of Ictidomys tridecemlineatus (thirteen-lined ground squirrel), 72 nucleotides long. The record is from Rfam. Lineage: Eukaryota; Metazoa; Chordata; Mammalia; Rodentia; Sciuridae.